CCACAACGAAUUGGAAUUUGUAACAUACAGCAUCAUGAGUUUUGCAAAUUCUUAACACAUCAUUCUAAUUGUAAUUCAUAACAUAUCAUACGAAAUGGAUGAUGGACAUCCACAAAUUAAUACAGUGUCCCGGAAUUACAUUUACUAUGUUACGUCUACUCCUGAGUCUAGGAUGCAUGUGCGCAUAUGCCUUUCUUUGUUUACAAACCAUAAACUAGCUAUUAGUAGCUAGCUCAAGCAGAACGUACAACCAAAUGUACUGGUAACCUUUCAUCUGUGGUGUGACAGUUAGCUAGCAAGCUACUUACAAGCAUGCCAGCUGAAAAUUUGAAUAAUGUCAUUUCGAGUGAAGUUGAUUUAUCAAUUGGGGAGAACAUUCGAUGGGUUUUGCCAGGAAGCUAAUCCUGAAGACGGAUGCUGUACGGUCAUUGACAGUGGAUCUUACAAGCGCCGACCAUAAUACAACCACCGCAGCAGGGAUGGUGUGAUACAGCUUUCCCAAGGCAAAGAAGGGAGUGGUAUACUGUGAAGCCUGUGAACACAGACCCAACGUCCCUAUUACAGGCUUCGCAGACUGGCUCCUGGAUAUCCUCUACAACGAGGUCACCCUGGACUGAGAUCCGUAUGUGGGGAAGCUGUGCGAGCUGUCCAUCCCAGGACCCCUGUCUGCCCAGUGUGAGAGGCCUGACAAGGAAGAGGCCAUAGCUGGAUUUGUCUCCCACUUCAAUCAUGGGGGUGACUGAAGCCUGCUCGAUUUGAAGCAGGGUAGGCCUGAUUACUGACGACGAUGAGACAGCCUAUAGGGAGGAGGUCAGAGACAACAACCUCUCCCUCAACGUCAGCAAGACAAAGGAGCUGAUCGUGGACUACAGGAAAUGGAGAGCCGAGCACGCCCCCAUUCACAUCGACGGGGCUGUAGUGGAGCAGGUCGAGAGCUUCAAGUUCCUCAGCGUCCACAUCACAAAGGAUCUAUCAUGGUCCACACACACCAACACAGUCGUGAAGAGGGCACGACAACGCCUCUUCCCCCUCACGAGACUGAAAAGAUUUGGCAUGGGCCCUAUGACUGGCUGCAACGCCGCUUGACAUGGCAACUGCUUGACAUCCGACCUCAAGGCGCUACAGAGGGUGAUGCGUACGGCCCAGUACAUCACUGGGUCCGAGCUCCCUGCCAUCCAGGACCUCAAUACCAGGCAGCGUCAAAGAAAGGCCCUAAAAUUGUCAAAACUUCAGCCACGCAAGUCAUAGACUGUACUCUCUGCUUGGUAUCAAUCCAAGUCUGGAGCUAACAGGACCCUGAAAAGCUUCUACCCCCAAGACUGCUAAAUAGUUAGUCCGGGUAGCUAUUUGGUUAACUAUUUAACUAUCUUCAUUGACCCUUUUUGAACUCCCUUUUUUGACUCAUCACAUAUGCUGCUGUUACUGUUUAUUAUCUAUCCUGUUGCCAAGUCAUUUUAUUCCUAAAUAUAUGCACACAUCUACCUGAAUUACCUCGUACCCCUGCACAUCGACUCGGUACUGGUACCCCGUGUAUAAAGCCAAGUUAUCACUACUCAUUGUGUAUUUAGUAUUAUGUGUUAUUGCUUUUCUAAAGUGACUCAGGCUUUACUAAUUCUUGUAAAGGAGUGUAUCAGUGAAGUGUAUUCUGUAAUUAGUUACUAAACAAUAGAAAUACAAUUGUGUAUUGCUGCUGUUUGUCUGAUAUCUAACAGUCCAUGAUUAGCUCUGUUGACCAUGAGAGCAUUUUGCAGAGAAAAUGGGUUGAGGCAUACUAUUUAGGCUUGGAAUGACAUGUGGCCCAUUGUUUACCUUGUCAUCAAUGACAUGUGGCCCAUUGUUUACCUUGUUACCUGGCAAUGACCAAAGAGCUGUCAGUCAUGAACAUAAGCUCCCCG
Molecule: long non-coding RNA, 1895 nt
Filed under: Salmo salar (Atlantic salmon)
Lineage: Eukaryota; Metazoa; Chordata; Actinopteri; Salmoniformes; Salmonidae
Description: lncRNA (ENSSSAG00000085117.1)
Source: RNAcentral